UCUAAUUAUUCUAAUUAAAAACUACUCUGUUUGAUAUUUCCAUUAGGUAUAAUGAGUAUUACUGAAUCAUUCAAAAUAUCGUGAAAAGAAAAGUGAUUUAACACAUGACUUAGAAUCUCAAGUUCAAGUGAUGAAUUUAUGAGUUCUGCAGAUGCAAUUGCGAAACAAAACUUGCAAUAAUAAUACUGUUACAUGUGCAGGUUAGGAACGCAAACUCGCAUGUUGAAGAACCGUAGCCGUUAACCAGUAGAAAAUCAUAAUUUCGAAAGAGAUUAAUCCUCGACUGUUCUAUACCGUUUUAUACCGUCAAUUUGCCCGAGCUCAAUACUGCACGGUACUAAAAACUGGACGUUCGAACAAAACAUGAUCUCAAAGUAGUAUAAAAACCAUCAUCCAUUGACUUCUCCUUUCCGUAAACAGACUCGAACGAUUCGUUGAUCACGCAUUUCCGGUGUACGAGGGCUACAAUGAUACUUCGGAAAGAUUCUGCCCUCUUCUGUAAUAGUAGACUAUUAUCCCAGGUCUGUCUAGGACAAGAAAUAGCUGCAUGGAACAAUUGUUCGUCACCGUAAUAAAUCUUCAGCAACUAGACGUUUGAACAAAAGGAAUCGAAAAUUUUUAGAAUAUUCUAAGCUCCAAAUUUAGAUAGGAAAGAAAUCAUAUUGCACUGUUAAAUAUGUUUUCAGUAUCUUUGCAGCUGUAAACCUAACCUUAAACAUACACUUCAACACUUUCAUUUCUGUUUAGAGCUCAACUGUAGCAAAUCACACACACAAACAAACAUAGACAGAGAGAGGGAGAGAGAGAGAGAGGGAGAUAAUAGUUGAAUCACAUACACACAUAUGUAUAAUGGUAUGACUAAUCAAAAGCAAAGGAUACAUUUCAAAUGAAACACCAUUGUGACCUAUUCUGAACCUGGCUACUUAUGGCUCAGAUUCUUUAUCAAAGUAUAAUCAACAAAUGAAAUCAAAGAAUUAUUUCAGAUCAAAUGCACAACGCUUGUUAGAUCCAAGGAAAGAAACCAGUUCCCCAGGACGAAAAAUUCCUCGCGUGUCGUAAACUGGUGGCGACCGUGCUAAAUAUAAACGCGGGAAAAGGAGGAAAACGUAGGCCGGUCACCUCAUAGCGAAGUUCGGUGAUACACCACUGGAUAUUCGGCUUGCCCAGCUGUUUCACUAGACGACAGGUGUAGAGGUGGAGAGGAGUCGUUGAACAGUUUGAAUUGGCGAAUCAAAGAUCAACGUUGAGUUAGAUUUUAUUUCCUGGAAUAAUACUAACGUAUUUCUCACUUCGUUCCAGAUAUUUAGCUAAAAAUAAUAACGAGUGACUAUUGAAUUGUCGAAUUGAAAAAUUGUAGAAUUAAUGGACUGUUUUGUUUUUACUGUAUUUGUUGGAAUGAAGCUGAAAUUGGAAAGUAUAUGUGUAUAUAUGUAUACACAUAUAAUUGCCACCUAACCUGUUAUUCUGACAAUCCAGGAAGUGCGCUUCAAAUAUGAUAGAUUAUGUAUUUUACACGUAGUAUUUAGUGUAGGUUUUUGAUUCAUUCGUUGAACAAUGGUCAUCGGAGCAUUACAAAAUGGUUCUAACAUAUGUAAAUAAACUUGUACAAAUCUGACAGAAUGAAAUUUGUGAAUAUAUAAGGUAGAAUUGGGAAUAACAAUGAGUAGUCGUCGUGAAGAUAAUGUUUAAGUAUUUGUGUGAUUUAUGUUUAGUGAAGUCUAGACGAUUAAUGUCCUGUCCAUUAACGCGUAUCUCAAUAGUUCAGCGCUGGAAUCCAGUAUAAAACCAGUAAAACCGAAAGUAAAAGCCCUGAGAAACGAAGUAUGUUUAAAUAAAACUGAAAGUAGCUGGAAAAGUCGAGAAAUUGUGGGAAAGUCUCGCUGUCACGGUAACCUAGAAAUUCAAAAACCAUCAUUAACUCUACCUUCUUAACGUAAAGGUAUAAAAUAUCUAGAUCUAAAUUAGAAUUUAAAUUCUAAUCAUUCGAAACCAGAAAAAAGUUUCUAUAUACUCCUGAAAAAUUUGUCAAUCCACUAAUAAAAUUUUAAAAUCCUCUCAAUAAAAAUAAAUUAUAAUAUUAUAAAAAAUCAGGAGAAUUUUCCUUUGAUUCUUCAAAUCUCAGAAAAUCCGGGAUAAGAAAGUAAAAACUCCCUCAAUCUUAAACUUAAACUUCUAUAUAAAAGAGUAACCCAUAUCUUAUAGUUAUGAGAGAUGUUUCGUUGAUAUAUAGAAUCACGGAAAAUCCAAGAUAAAAAAACCAGAAGAAUUGCAAAUUGCUCUCCUCCCAGCUCGUGACACGCACGCAUUCGCAGCUCGUUAACGCGGAGAGCAGUCGCGGCUACCGUAUAAAGCUAGAACGGCAGCGGUACUCAGAUCAACGUUGUCGAUGAUGGAGGAUCUCGGUCGGAUAGAGUGAACGCCUUCGGCGCGGAGGUUGAAAAGUUCGAGUACUCGGUGUUAUGCGUGGAAGAAGCAUAAGAGAUUCAUCUGCAUAACAGUUAAUAAUUCCGGUACAUGGUGUGCCUUGUACCGGUUACUACACGGUGUUCUCGCGCGCGUAUGCGCAUGCGCAUGCGCAUAACCAACCAGGUUUCUCUCAGACAAUCGUGUGCCACCUGUUUAGUAGAAUGUCAGAAGCGAUCCUGUUACUUUAGGCGUUAGAAAUAUGUCCUGCUGUUAAAGUAAUCAUACAGUCACCAUUUUGUUUGAUGGGAUAUAGAGAUGAACGUUUUUUGAAUAGUAGAUGAUUGAAAUGAAAUUAAUGAACUAUGAAUGAAAGAACUAGACCACUAAAUUUGUGCUCGGACCAUUGACGUCUGAACCUCUGUACCGAUAGAAAAAGGGUAAUUCAUAACGACAAAAAAUUGAUUGAGGAAACCUUCAUCCUUUUCAAAUGAAGGAAAUGCUUGGAAUGAUUGAAGGAAGACGAAGUACAGCUUUGAUUGAAACCCUGGUGGCGAGGUAGCUGUUUUUGCUGAAUCCCUUGAAAUAGAAUAAGCAAUGCUACUUCACUAAUACAAACAAACGUUAUAAACAUUGGACCAGUCAUUCUAUUUCUCAAUUACCGAACAUGGUGAUUAAUUAAAACCAUGAUUUUAAAUCGAAUCUUCGUCUCGUUUAGAGUCAUACUAUGAACCAGAAAUGUUCGUCAAUUCCAUGAACGAUGAAAAAGUUGGAAGGGAACAAGAGCAAAAACUGUGAUGUGGCAGUUGCCACUAAGCAGCUCGAUGAAGACAUUUCUCCAUGGCAUUCUCGGAAGCGAAUGUCCUGGCUGAACCAAAAAGAGAUGUUGCAACGUUGUAUGCCUUCCCUCUGAAUUAAAUUAAGCCGUCAAUUUCGAUCCACUCUUUUAAUCGGUUCUUCGACGAACGAGAAUCGAGUCAGUAUCUCGGCAGCAACUUAUCAUGUAUCGAAUCGUUCGUAAUUUCUGAUCGAUAUUUCUGCUAAAAUAUCUCUGAUCUUUGAUACAAUAAAGAUCAUUAGUGGUAUAUACCUUUAUGGUAAGUUCUGUGAAGGAAAGAAUCUCGGUGAAUCGUAUUCGACCUCCACAGUAAAGUAAAAAGUAAGGAGGAAAUGAAAUUUGCACGCUAUGGUUGCGGUUAUGUUGAGCGAGUGAGGUUAUGGAGACGUUAAAAGCGCUAACUUCAAAUUCUCAAAUAUAAGAUCGACUGUAAUCACUAGUACUAGCGAAAUAUCUGUAAUUAUGGACAGACAGAUAUAUAAUAAUAUUUAAUGGCUAUAUGAGCUUUUAUGAAUCGUACGAGAUAAUUACGUACUAAAUAUAUUUUUUGUAAUUUGUAAAACAUUAUUUUUAGCGAGGAAAGGAUAUCAAAUAAAGAUUGAUGAGAAUA
Molecule: long non-coding RNA, 3851 nt
Organism: Bombus pascuorum
Lineage: Eukaryota; Metazoa; Arthropoda; Insecta; Hymenoptera; Apidae
Exons: 2
Source: RefSeq, a predicted model, not a curated record